RNAcentral lists this ribosomal RNA (253 nucleotides) under uncultured bacterium. RNAcentral describes it as "partial 16S ribosomal RNA". It matches the Rfam family "Bacterial small subunit ribosomal RNA", at positions 524 to 776 of the family's 1533-position model. The record is from RNAcentral.
UACGUACUGUGCGAACGUUAUUCGGAAUCACUGGGCUUAAAGGGUGCGUAGGCGGCCAAUUAAGUAGGGUGUGAAAGGUUACGGCUCAACCGUGACAUUGCGCUCUAGACUGAUUGGCUCGAGUGAGAUAGGGGUGUGCGGAACUUCCAGUGGAGCGGUGAAAUGUGUUAAUAUUGGAAGGAACGCCGGUGGCGAAAGCGGCACACUGGGUCUUAACUGACGCUGAGGCACGAAAGCCAGGGGAGCGAACGGG